Molecule: ribosomal RNA, 498 nt
Filed under: uncultured bacterium
Lineage: Bacteria
Description: bacterial SSU rRNA
Rfam family: Bacterial small subunit ribosomal RNA
Source: RNAcentral
UCCUGGCUCAGGAUGAACGCUAGCUACAGGCUUAACACAUGCAAGUCGAGGGCAGCGCAGUGUAGCAAUACAUGGGCGGCGACCGGCGCACGGGUGCGUAACGCGUAUCCAACCUUCCGUUACUCAGGGAUAGCCUUCCGAAAAGGGAGAUUAAUACCCUGAUUGGUGUUGAAAUUCCGCAUGUUAUUAGAACUAAAGAUUUAUCGGUAACGGAUAGGGAUGCGUGACAUUAGAUAGUUGGCGGGGUAACGGCCCGCCAAGUCUACGAUGUCUAGGGGUUCUGAGAGGAAGGUCCCCCACACUGGAACUGAGACACGGUCCAGACUCCUACGGGAGGCAGCAGUGAGGAAUAUUGGUCAAUGGCCGAGAGGCUGAACCAGCCAAGUAGCGUGAAGGAUGAAGGUUCUAUGGAUUGUAAACUUCUUUUAUACGGGAAUAACAUCACCUACGUGUAGGUGCCUGCAUGUACCGUAUGAAUAAGCAUCGGCUAACUCCGUG